AUCACUGCAUUUUCAGAGAAGCACUGCCCUAAAUGUGAUACAAUGUAGAGGCGUAGAAGCAUAAUCUAGAGAACAAAGAUCUAUAGGUUCUGAGUGCUGAAAGGAACAACUGCUUGGCAAUUCCACUGUGUACUUGCAAGAGAGAAAAGGUUUGGUUCAUAAAAACACCAGAGGAAAAAAGAUUAAACAAAAACAGUGGUUAAGAUCACGAGGUCAAGAGAUCGAGACCAUCCUGGUCAACAUGGUGAAACCCCGUCUCUACUAAAAAUACAAAAAAUUAGCUGGGCACGGUGGCGCGUGCCUGUAAUCCCAGCUACUCAGGAGGCUGAGGCAGGAGAACUGCUUGAACCCAGGAGGCGGAGGUUGCAGUGAGCUGAGAUCGCGCCAUUGCACUCCAGCCUGGGAGCCUGGGUAACAAGAGCGAAACUCCGUCUCAAAAAAAAAAAGAUUACACUUUUCACCCAUGCCAGUGGCAAAGAUGAGAAAGAGAGAUGUUGGGAUAGAUAUUGAAGUGGAGACGUUAUAUAACUUGCCUAAGGUCACACAGCUAACAAAAGGUAUGUCAUGAAUUCAAAGGCUCCUGAGUCUGUGCUCUUGGCCACUCUAAUGCCAAUCAUGGAUAUUUAAUAAUGGGGGAAUUUUUUUCUUUGUUAAGAGAAUGUAAGUAGA
Long non-coding RNA from Callithrix jacchus (white-tufted-ear marmoset), 669 nucleotides. RefSeq lists it as uncharacterized. The record is from RefSeq and is a predicted model, not a curated record. Lineage: Eukaryota; Metazoa; Chordata; Mammalia; Primates; Cebidae.